GGAUGUGAGGGCGAUCUGGCUGCGACAUCUGUCACCCCAUUGAUCGCCAGGGUUGAUUCGGCUGAUCUGGCUGGCUAGGCGGGUGUCCCCUUCCUCCCUCACCGCUCCAUGUGCGUCCCUCCCGAAGCUGCGCGCUCAGUCCAAGAGGACGACCAUCCCCGAUAGAGGAGGACCGGUCUUCGGUCAAGGGUAUAUGAGUAGCUGCGCUUCCCUGCUAGAACCUCCAAACAAGCUCUCAAAAUUUAAGAGGCUUAUCUAGGGUUUUCUACUAAUCACAGUAUAAUAUUUCUAGCAUGAAUAUUUAAUUUAUCUUCAUUGGAA
This is an unclassified non-coding RNA of Dipodomys ordii (Ord's kangaroo rat), 321 nucleotides long. Its record names the gene 7SK. It matches the Rfam family "7SK RNA". Rfam says of the family: 7SK was discovered as an abundant small nuclear RNA in the mid-70s but a possible function has only recently been suggested. Two independent studies have found that 7SK RNA binds the CDK9/cyclin T complex (known as elongation factor P-TEFb). Lineage: Eukaryota; Metazoa; Chordata; Mammalia; Rodentia; Heteromyidae. The record is from Ensembl.